AGCGAACGUUAGCGGCGCGCCUAACACAUGCAAGUCGCACGAGAAAGGGAGCAAUCCCCGGUACAGUGGCGCACGGGUGAGUAACACGUAGAUGACCUUCCCUGGAGUGGUGGAUAACCUGCCGAAAGGCGGGCUAAUACAGCAUGGGACCACAUGGUUUUUGACCGAGUGGUGAAAGCGGGCCUCUGUUCACAAGCUCGCGCUCUGGGAUGGGUCUGCGUCCCAUCAGCUAGUUGGUGAGGUAAUGGCUCACCAAGGCAUCGACGGGUAGCUGGUCUGAGAGGAUGACCAGCCACACUGGAACUGAGACACGGUCCAGACUCCUACGGGAGGCAGCAGUGGGGAAUCUUGCGCAAUGGGCGAAAGCCUGACGCAGCGACGCCGCGUGGGUGAUGAAGGCC
RNAcentral lists this ribosomal RNA (401 nucleotides) under uncultured bacterium. RNAcentral's name for it is "bacterial SSU rRNA". It matches the Rfam family "Bacterial small subunit ribosomal RNA", at positions 29 to 416 of the family's 1533-position model. The record is from RNAcentral.